GCGUAUUCUCAGGGCGGGGUGAAAUUCCCCACCGGCGGUAUGUGGGGCGUGACCUUACGAGCCCGCGAGCGGCCUUUCCCGAACUGAAGGGUUUCAGCAGAUCUGGUGAGAUGCCAGAGCCGACGGUCAUAGUCCGGAUGAAAGAGAAUGCGA
This 153-nucleotide non-coding RNA is filed under the name Roseobacter denitrificans. RNAcentral's name for it is "FMN sequence". It matches the Rfam family "FMN riboswitch aptamer (RFN element)". From Rfam's summary of the family: The RFN element is a highly conserved domain that is found frequently in the 5'-untranslated regions of prokaryotic mRNAs that encode for flavin mononucleotide (FMN) biosynthesis and transport proteins. This element is a metabolite-dependent riboswitch that directly binds FMN in the absence of proteins. RNAcentral also lists the same sequence under 1 other name. Lineage: Bacteria; Pseudomonadati; Pseudomonadota; Alphaproteobacteria; Rhodobacterales; Roseobacteraceae. The record is from RNAcentral.